ACAUUGAUGGUUUAGUGGUAGACUUCCAGCCUCAUGCAGGAGACCUGGGUUCGAUCCCCAGUUAUUGCA
Molecule: transfer RNA, 69 nt
Filed under: Loxodonta africana (African savanna elephant)
Lineage: Eukaryota; Metazoa; Chordata; Mammalia; Proboscidea; Elephantidae
Rfam family: tRNA
About the family: Transfer RNA (tRNA) molecules are approximately 80 nucleotides in length. Their secondary structure includes four short double-helical elements and three loops (D, anti-codon, and T loops). Further hydrogen bonds mediate the characteristic L-shaped molecular structure. tRNAs have two regions of fundamental functional importance: the anti-codon, which is responsible for specific mRNA codon recognition, and the 3' end, to which the tRNAs corresponding amino acid is attached (by aminoacyl-tRNA synthetases). tRNAs cope with the degeneracy of the genetic code in two manners: having more than one tRNA (with a specific anti-codon) for a particular amino acid; and 'wobble' base-pairing, i.e. permitting non-standard base-pairing at the 3rd anti-codon position.
Source: Rfam by way of RNAcentral